This 253-nucleotide ribosomal RNA is filed under the name uncultured bacterium. Its description in RNAcentral is "partial 16S ribosomal RNA". It matches the Rfam family "Bacterial small subunit ribosomal RNA", at positions 524 to 776 of the family's 1533-position model. The record is from RNAcentral.
UACGUAGGGGGCUAGCGUUGUCCGGAAUCAUUGGGCGUAAAGAGCGUGUAGGCGGCUCGGUAAGUCCGCUGUGAAAGUCCAGGGCUCAACCCUGGAAUGCCAGUGGAAACUGUCGAGCUAGAGUCCGGAAGAGGCGAGUGGAAUUCCUGGUGUAGCGGUGGAAUGCGUAGAGAUCCGGAAGAACACCGGUGGCGAAGGCGGCCCGCUGGGCAGAGACUGACGCUGAGGCGCGACAGCGUGGGGAGCAAACAGG